This 249-nucleotide ribosomal RNA is filed under the name uncultured Dominikia. RNAcentral's name for it is "partial large subunit ribosomal RNA". It matches the Rfam family "Eukaryotic large subunit ribosomal RNA", at positions 359 to 604 of the family's 3401-position model. The record is from RNAcentral. Lineage: Eukaryota; Fungi; Glomeromycota; Glomeromycetes; Glomerales; Glomeraceae.
GAAAGAUGAAAAGAACUUUGAAAAGAGAGUAAAAUAGUACGUGAAAUUGUUGAAAGGGAAACGAUUGAAGUCAGUCGUACCGACGAGAAAUCAACUCUUCGAGUGCGGGCUUGUGGGCAUGCGGGUGUCUCGUUGUUUGCAACGUCUGUGCUUUUUGGGUGUACUUUUUCGUAUGGUAGGCCAACAUCAGUUUCGAUUAUCAUAAAAUGGCCGGAGGAAUGUAGCUUCGAUUUCGGUUGAAGUGUUAUA